AUGCCGUCGAUUGACAAGGUCACCGACAACGGAGAGAUGAAGCAGCGGCAGCCAGAGCAGCAGCAGCCGUCCAUGACCAUGGGCCCCAUGCUGCAGCAGCCGCUCAACUUCAGCAGCAGCCACGUCGCGCGCUACCUCACCGGCGCCAAGCCCACCUACCCCACCGCAGUCGCCGCGUACACCGACGUUCGUGACGUCGCCCGCGCCCACGUCCUUGUCUAUGAGCACCCCGACGCACACGGCCGCUACCUUUGCAUCGGCGCCGUGCUGCACCGCGCCCACUUCCUCCAGCUCGUCGGCGACCUCUUCCCUCACUACAACAUAACCGCCAAGUGCGAAGAGGACGGCAAACCCAUGGCGAAGCCGUACAAGUUCUCGAACCGGAGGCUGAGGGACCUAGGAUUGGAGUUCACUCCACUAUGGGGAAGUUUGUACGAGACGGUGACUUGCUUGCAGAAGAAGGGCCACCUGCCUCUGCCCAUUGUUCCCAUGGCAACAAAGCGUGCCUACUUGUAA
RNAcentral lists this ribosomal RNA (516 nucleotides) under Triticum aestivum (bread wheat). RNAcentral describes it as "partial small subunit ribosomal RNA". Lineage: Eukaryota; Viridiplantae; Streptophyta; Magnoliopsida; Poales; Poaceae. The record is from RNAcentral.